RNAcentral lists this microRNA (22 nucleotides) under Oreochromis niloticus (Nile tilapia). Its description in RNAcentral is "oni-miR-7132b-5p". RNAcentral also lists the same sequence under 3 other names. Lineage: Eukaryota; Metazoa; Chordata; Actinopteri; Cichliformes; Cichlidae. The record is from miRBase by way of RNAcentral.
GACUUGGUCCAAGCUCCUCAGU